This 75-nucleotide transfer RNA is filed under the name Candidatus Woesearchaeota archaeon. Its description in RNAcentral is "tRNA-Asn". It matches the Rfam family "tRNA". Rfam says of the family: Transfer RNA (tRNA) molecules are approximately 80 nucleotides in length. Their secondary structure includes four short double-helical elements and three loops (D, anti-codon, and T loops). The record is from RNAcentral. Lineage: Archaea; Nanobdellati; Candidatus Woesearchaeota.
GCCCCGGUGGCUCAGUCUGGUUAGAGCACAUGGCUGUUAACCAUGGGGUCGCAAGUUCAAAUCUUGCCCGGGGCG